This 75-nucleotide transfer RNA is filed under the name Ovis aries (sheep). It matches the Rfam family "tRNA". Rfam says of the family: Transfer RNA (tRNA) molecules are approximately 80 nucleotides in length. Their secondary structure includes four short double-helical elements and three loops (D, anti-codon, and T loops). Further hydrogen bonds mediate the characteristic L-shaped molecular structure. tRNAs have two regions of fundamental functional importance: the anti-codon, which is responsible for specific mRNA codon recognition, and the 3' end, to which the tRNAs corresponding amino acid is attached (by aminoacyl-tRNA synthetases). tRNAs cope with the degeneracy of the genetic code in two manners: having more than one tRNA (with a specific anti-codon) for a particular amino acid; and 'wobble' base-pairing, i.e. permitting non-standard base-pairing at the 3rd anti-codon position. The record is from Rfam by way of RNAcentral. Lineage: Eukaryota; Metazoa; Chordata; Mammalia; Artiodactyla; Bovidae.
UCUGUGGUGGUCCAGUAAGGCUAAGACUCUGUGCUCACAAUGCAGGGGGCCCAGGUUCAACCCCUGGUCAGGGAA